UGAUCCAUAGCCCAAUUAUAAUUAUCUUAUAAUUACAACUUCAGUCCCCUAAGUUUAAUUAAUCUCUUUUAGCCACAAAAUUAAUUAACAAUUAAUUCUUGACUAAUAUUAAUUAAACAAUAUGAUUUCUCCUUUAAUAUAUUAUUCUCAUAAUAUAUUAAUAAAUCAUAUUUAAACCUUUCUCUCCUUAAAUCAUCCUACAUAUUGCUAUGGUGAAGGCAACCCAAAAGGACCAUGCUCAUAAUCGGGUCAAGUACAUACCAAAAUAGUUAUGGACUUAGACACUAAUCCAACAGUCUCCCACUUGGAUAAGUCUAAUAACUAUUUUCCGUAUGACUUCAAAACCUGAUCAGCAAUCGUAGCUUUCAAAAGCCGCUGUCAACUCUGAUCUUAUCAGAUAGCGUGUCCUCUAGAUAAGGGAUUAUAUAUUCCUCCAUUCUCAAGAUAUCGUAUAGACAAAAGACAUGAAUUUCAAUCAUUCUCUCUAUACUUUUUCCCGACUUCCGAUUCAUGACGACUGAUAACAGACUACAAUUGAACACAUCAACUUAGUCCCGGCUUGGCCAAGCGCUUAGAUGUCAUCACUAAAUCAUCGAGAGGCCCACAUAUAUCGCUUUUAUCCCACUUUGGGUAAAAGGAAUGGAUAAACUUCGACUCAAAUGCUCGCUUGCAUUUACUGAUCGAAUCACACACAACAAUAAGUUUUAUAACACCAAGUUACUGGUGCGUUUACUUAUUAUCAAUGUGUAACUGACCAACAAAUAACAACUCACACGUCUCGGUUUCAAGAAUAUACAAUAUUAUCGUCUCACUAAUCACUCGUGAUAAAACCGUGAAGUGAUCCAAGUGAGCGUGGGUUUAAUCCAAUACUUUAAUCUUAUCAAAGCACUCACGAACUCUGCAGCAAACUUGUGCCAUGUCUAAACACUUCAGACAAUCUACAGACAGAUUCAUGACAGUCUUUAUUCAUACCUACUCCCAACGUAUGACCAACUGUGGAUGUUUGAAUAACCUAGUUAUUCUGGAAGUCAAAACAUGCAAAUUGAAACAUGACAACAAUACUUAAUCCUAUAUGGCCCCAAACUUGUGAGAGUAAAUAAAACCCUUCUAUUUAUCCACCAUAUUGAUUACUCAUUAUUUAUCAUUUAAUGUUUCGGAUAAUCAACUCAUUACUUGAAUUAUACCAACAAUUGUCCCAUGCUCUAAACAUGCACACUUUGUUUCCUAUGGUCCAUGCUUUGUGAAAUAGAUCACCUGAAAACUUUUCCAAUGAUGCUCAUUUCACAAUUCCUUAAUCCCCAUUGUUAGUGUAAGAACACAAGGUUCUUGCCACUACUAGAAUAUGCUAGAUUCUAACAUUUUACGCAACGAUCCUUUCGUAAAGUCAUAGCACAAAAGUCACCAAGACUUGGCUAAUGAAAUUACAAAGUGCUUUCUUAGAAAUUGUUACAAGACAAUUCCAUAGACGUGAAGUCUCACAUUCAAAGUACAUUCCUUUGAACAUCCUUCUUGCAUAAAAGUUUCUAAUCUAGACAUAGAUUCUCAAUAUCCAACUCCCAAUAUGGAAACAUUUCCAUAUUUGCCAUAUGACAACUCAUUCUUAAUAGAAUCUUAUCUAUUCAUAAUAAUGUCGAUAUGGUCCAUCCAAUACCAUACUUCCAACUACUCACAAGCGACCAAUCCUCAGCGAACUUUGGAUCGUCCUUUGAUAGUUGUUUAAUUAUUUUAGUCAAAACCAAUUCUAGUCCUUUUUCCCUCUUAAUGCGCUAGACAUUUGGAAAAUUUUAGAAUGGUAAAAUAUUAUAGCAUUUGCAAUCGAUCCUAUACCCGAAGCGUAUGGGACACGAUGCAUAAUGUCUUACAUAAAGAUAUGAUACUUUACCAAUCUUUUGCCAUAAUAUUUUAUGUGUCAUGUUCUCACAAUUCGAACUAUGAAGAGGGAUGCCGUAAUCAUAAUCGAAUUUUAAGAACACACAAUGUAUCCUUUGACUGAAAAUAUUAAAAUUUCUCAAUCUAAGCUUUAGAUUUUGAAACGAAGUAUAAUAUUCUCUCCCUUAAUUAUAUUAAAACAACUUUUCAACCCAUGCAACUUUGCAAAUUGAAUCUUUGUUUUUCUAUAAUUAAUAUUGCUAACUUGCAAUACUCGCCAUAAUAAUCAUACAAGCAUAACACUUAUGCUCCCACUAUCAUGAUGAUUAUUAUCAUAUAAGCAUAACACUUAUGCUCCCACUAGCUUUGACAUGUAUUCAGAAAACAAAUGAACUUUCAGAAAACAAUGCCUAUUGAAUUUCUGAAAUUCAUAUUUCUAAUACCAGAUGCUUCGAUAAGCCUUUAUCUAGGCUUCUUAACCUUAUACACCUUUGUCUUAGAUAGCUCAUAUGUGUGUUUAAACAAUUCAGAACUUAUGUUACUAAGUUCCAAAUGUUGAAACUAAUUGCCAAAUCUCAUAAUUCGAACUAUGGAAAGGGAUGCCGUAACCAUAAUCGAAUUUUGAGAAUACAAUUUUCACAAUCGCUAUCUUCUUAAAAUCUCUCUUAGUGAAAGCAUUUCCUCACAGUCAUUUUCAUGAAGGAGGGAAUCUUAUGACACUUAGAUUUUAUGGUGUAUGAGUUCCUAUCCAUGUGAAUUUGCCAAAACCAAGGUUUGCGACAAAUCCAAACUCAUAUGGACUGAACUUUCUUAAUCUUGAUUUCUUGCCUUAUGGUAACACGAGUGCCCACCAUGUCUUCCAAGUAGUUUAGUAACUUGUCCUUACAUAUCAAUGUACUUUCCAUCGACUAAGGCUCUAGUAUGCAUUCAAAUGAGAACUCAUAGAACUCACAUACACAAUUAACUCAAUUGGAAUGGCACAGAAACAAAAUAAUGUCAGCACGAUAGGUUGUAAACCUCAAGUCGUGUGCUAGUGAUGAUCGAUAAGGUUUAUUCUUGAUUUGUUCUUGAAACCUUUCAAGACCAUUAAGACUCCCACUGACUCCUUGACAUAUAAGAUUCUCUUGUCAAGAAACAUUUCUUGACAAAGCAAAUAUUCAAGAGUUAGUGUAGUUCUUAUCAAGACAAAACACUUCACAAAAUUGGUCCUAGUUGGUCUUUGUCUUAUCCAAGACAUCACAACUUACCAAUUUCAAAUGUGCAAGAAUAAGAAAACUUUUCCAAAUUCCACAUUUGAUGAGUGUUAUAAACCUACUUAAGACUUGUCACUCAAUGUCACAAUCUUGGAGUAUGACUCUAAGACUUGAUAUUGGAACGAAGUAUGAUUGACUUUUUGAUUUAACCAUUUCUACAAUUCUCGAUUCCUCUUCUUAGACAUGCAAUUGCACUAAGACUCACUUAGAGGAUCAAUUGAGACAUGGUUCUUAAUCAUUAAGACUUAUCAUAAAACACAAUAAAAGGUACUCUCCCUUCUUCUUAGAAAAGAGAAACUUUUAUCUUUCUGCCUACUUGAUUCUUCUUUAUUCGUUCUACUAUUCAUUGAAACUCUUUCAAUCAACUCAGAAUUACACUUAAUCUUAUAAGUAUAAUCAUAUUUACUAAACUUUAGUAAAUCAUGACGAAUAUCUUUGUCACUCUUGUGGUGGACUUGAUCAACGCACAACCUAGUGUACUUGAUCUCCUAGUCCUUCAAUUGACACUUUGUCAAAGAAUUAGUCUAAGUUUCCCAAAUGUGAAAGUUUUUCAUUCAUCAUACAAUACACAUUGCAUGAUUCCAAGUUUCUGUCCAAUUGAAACUUGGGCGAUGAGAAACUCUCCCUAUUUGGUAAACUCUCGACAUUUCCACAAAUAACAUAAUUAAGAAUCAAAUCCAUUAUUGCUAAUAAUAGAAACAUUCAAACAUCAAUUUUUCAUACAUGCCAUUGCAAGGAUAAAUAAAUAAGAUAAAAUCAAAAUUCAUUUUAUUGCGGAAAAAAUUUGUCCUUACAAUGCAAUUCAAUUGAAAAACUAUGUUAUUACAUAUUUCUUAACAAUCUAUUCUAACUCCAAGUAGUAGCUCAAGAAUCCAUUCUUCAAGUAAUGCGAUCGAAAUCCAUUUCUUCAUGAUUAGAUUCAGCUCACUUCUUCCCUCAAGCUUCCUCUCUUUUCUUCGAUCCUACAAAACAUCAAAAUGUAAUCUUAUCACAUCAUGUAUUAAGAAUCUAGAAUAGGAACUCAAAAGAGUUAGGUAAUGGAUUUUACCUGGAGUAGAGCCAUACAUCUUGACUCUCCCAUCUCUUAGAUCUUUCAGGUAGUUAGGGCAGCUUCGUCUCCAAUGCCCCUUCUCUUGGCAAUAAAAGCAAAUGGACUCCUUUGGCACAACACAUCGGACAAUCACAGACUUAGUUCUUUCUGGACUUCCAAUGUUGCCAGUGUCCAUUGAAGUUUGGGAGUUUGAUUCACUAGACAAAUUUGCUUGACCAGCACGCCAAAUCAUUGUUGAUUCAGCAGCUAUAAGCAAAUAGGUGAGAUCAAUUAGGGUCACGUCGUGGUCCAUCAUAUAGUACUCUCUAACGAACUCACUAUAUGAUUCAGGAAGUGACUGAAGAACCCAGUCAACAGCCAACUCGCUUGAAAUCUCGACACCCAACAUGCUUAACCUAUCAAUGUGUGACUUCAUCUCUAAGACGUGUGCACACACAGGUUUCCCAUCUUCGUGUUUACUUGCCAAAAGGGCUUGAGUGAGCUUGAACUUUUCAAGCCUUUGAACUUGUGGGUCAGGGAGAACAAUUGGAGGAGGUGGAGGAAGUGAAGCAUGACUCUCAUUUCCUUGAUCGUAUCUCGGAACGUCAUCUUCAUUUGGAAAGCUUGUUCCAAAGGAUUUGGGAAGACCAUUGUAAGAUUCAGACAUCUACAAAACGGGAGAAAAUUCAAGUUAAGUUGAUUAGAAUUCUUGAUGUAACACCCAAAUGAAACAUCAAGCUAGGAUCCAACACAAUACUCUACAACCUAGAAGAGGGAUGCCGUAAUCUAGUUGCAAAAUAUUUGAAGGUAGGUAAAUGACGAUUUACCAAUUUCCACCAUGAAAAACGAAAAGGAAGAUUAAGUUUUAAAUGAAUUGAAACUCCUAGAUCUUUUGAGAUUCAUUGAACUUUUCAAUGGCAUGUUUAAUCUCGAUUAUGCCCUACUAUUUGUGACUGGGAUGCCGAGGAUCACAAACAAGGUGUGAAUAACCAUACGAAUCACGUGGUGCACCCAAUGCUACUAUCACCUAAUCAAUGUGCCGGUUAGCCACACACGCUCCAUUGAUCUAUGACAAACAUCGAGUCACCCUUCGCUACCAAUGUCAUCCCCAAAUUAGUGUGCCGGUUAACCACACACGCUCCACUAACGUUUGACAAGGGUACGAAGUGUAAUUCCAUGGGUUAGCAUACAAUUUCACAUUUUGCCUAAAGUAACUAUGAUUUGGGAAUUUGAAAAAGCAUUUAGUUACUUUGUACUUCAUUAUACUUAUAAUGGAAGGUUUCUGUCCUAUCCUACCCGUUCGGCUAACGACCCUCCACUAGUCAAGAGUGCGGUGGGUAAGAGUGGAUACCCAUUCAAUCGCCAUUUUAUAGGCAAUUUCCUUAAACACCCCUUAUAGACUAGCUUCGUGAAUGAGGCCUACUAACGGUAAGACUGAAUUUUUAGUUAUACAUAUAUAAUAUUAAACUUUUAAUGUUAUAUAUAGUAUAAGGGUGUAUUUUACACUUUUAAAAUACUAGGUGGUUUAAAUUAUACUUUUAAUUAACCAAAAUCAUUAUGGAUUUAUUAAAUCUCUUUUAAUUAUACACUUAAUUAAUUUAAUAAAACCAUAAGGGUUUAAUUUGAACUUUUCAAAAUCAGGGUUUUGGAUUUUAGACUUUCAAAAUUAACUUUUAAUCAACAAUUUAAAUUCCAAAACUUGAGGGCAAGUUUUGAAACUCUUCAAAACAAUUAGGUUUUAAUCUCACUUAAAAUUUUGAAUUUGAGACAUUUAAAUUAAAAUUUUAAAUAUUAAAACUGUUGAUUUAAUAAUUACCAUAAAUUAAACAAUUAAUUUAAAUUAUUAAAUCACAAGGGAUUAUCUAGAUCAUGAGGAUAAUUACCAAUUAUACAUCUAAGAUAUCCAAAUCCCUUGAAUCCCUCUCUAAAUCUCGAAAAUAAGGGAUGGGAUAAUUCAAGAUCUUUAAUUACCAUAUUUAACAAUUAAAAGAUAAUUACAAGAUAUGGGAUUAUCCAAAUCCCUAAAAUUUAGGAUCUAACCUUGGGGAAGGAGGUAAUUUCGAAAUCCAAGGGUUGGAAAACCCUAGAUUUCAAAAUCUUGGAGGCUAAGGAAAGGAUUUGGGAAACCCUAGCAAAAAUCGCCAUCUAGGGUUUAGCAACCCUAAUUGCGAAAAAUACCUAGCCUUUAGGGUUCAUUAGCCAUAAACCCUAAUAUGUCAAGUUCAUAAAUUUGAAUAAAAGCUAAUUGAAAACAAAAACCAAUGGCUCUGAUACCACUGAUGGGUUUAAUACAAACAAUCCUAUGUGUGCAUGCAACCCUAGUAUUGGAUCUAUGUUUUCACUAUUAGUUAUACAGCUUUAUGAACACAAAAAGAAACCUGGCAUGCUACUAUAAUUUUCGAAAUUCAUAUAUAAAGCUAGAAUACAUACCUUUUGUUGUUAUAUAGCAAUAACAACUAGUUCCUUGAAUUUCCUUAGCUCUUGAAAGCAAGUACCACAAGUGUAGUACCUCUAAUGGAGUCACAAACACCAUAUGCAACUUGGAUGAAGAGGAGAAGAAAGGGAGGCACCAAAAACGGCUGGAAACCCUAAUGGAAGACUUGUCUUCGUUUUUGGGGCAUAGGGGCCCUUUAUAUACAUGUAGGCUAUUAGGGUUUACAACUAGGAAACCCUAAUUUGACUGCUUAGGCCCUAAGCAGCCCAUGGACUCCUUAAACAUAUCCCUUGGACGAUUUCUAAUGGGCUACCCAUAGAAUUCGUCCAACCUAUAUAUUAUUUGGUGAUCCAUAGCCCAAUUAUAAUUAUCUUAUAAUUACAACUUCAGUCCCCUAAGUUUAAUAAAUCUCUUUUAGCCACAAAAUUAAUUAACAAUUAAUUCUUGACUAAUAUUAAUUAAACAAUAUGAUUUCUCCUUUAAUAUAUUAUUCUCAUAAUAUAUUAAUAAAUCAUAUUUAAACCUUUCUCUUCUUAAAUCAUCCUACAUAUUGCUAUAGUGAAGGCAACCCAAAAGGACCAUGCUCAUAAUCGGGUCAAGUACAUACCAAAACAGUUAUGGACUUAGACACUAAUCCAACAAAAUGUAGCGGGGUACCCAAUUCCUCAUGAAAUUUCUUCCAGAACCUGGAAGUAAAAUGCACAUUACGAUCUCAUAUUAUCGAU
This 7311-nucleotide long non-coding RNA is filed under the name Lactuca sativa (garden lettuce). Its description in RNAcentral is "long non-coding RNA (LSAT_LNC000505)". Lineage: Eukaryota; Viridiplantae; Streptophyta; Magnoliopsida; Asterales; Asteraceae. The record is from RNAcentral.